GAUACAAUAUGUAGGUGAGAGAGACAUUUGGAGCGUGAAGAGCUGGGCUUCAGGCAGUUGUCUUUAAACAAGAUCGGGGUGGAUCUUCAGAUACAAGGGGCUUGUGCAUGGAGACAUUAGGCCUUCACAUUGUCACUUGUUUCCCCCAACGUCUUGCCUCCAAUGGGAUCCCUUCACCUGCAUCUGUUCCUAGAACAGCAGAAAGGAGAUGCCUAAUACUCCUCUAAUGACAAAAGUUCUGACUGCCUUCCAGCUACUAAUCCCUGCAGACCCAUUGCCUGGCAACUGCAACAGCAUAAUAUUUAGGAGAUCAAUGCCAGGAGAACAGUUCAGAAAACAAAUUUCAUUCCAUCCAAGACAACGCAGUUGGAGGCGUCCAACAAACCCAAGCUUUGUGUCUUUCAGCCAGUGAGAAAAUGCAAAUUACUGGCAAACAUAAUGCAGUACUCACGGAUGGACCAACACGGCCUACUUCACCAGGAAGUCCUGCUACACCAGGGGGACCCUACAAUAACCAAAUCUGAAGAAAUGAAAAUGAUACUUUGACUUCAUCUAAAAUAUCAUCCUUAUGAAACCCAAAGUCUCAGAUCCUCUUCAAGAUCUCCAGCUAGAGUUCACCAACCAACAAAGAGGAGGCAGGGAAGGGGAGUGGAAAUGAAACAGCUUUAGGGAUCGUGCCACAGCAGC
Long non-coding RNA from Trachemys scripta elegans, 687 nucleotides. RefSeq lists it as uncharacterized. The transcript has 6 exons. Lineage: Eukaryota; Metazoa; Chordata; Testudines; Emydidae. The record is from RefSeq and is a predicted model, not a curated record.